GCGAGGGGGCGGGGCAGCUGCUGCCCGUGAGUGCGCUGUUGUAGAGACGGAGCCAGCCAUACUAAGGAGAGCUGAAGUUUGACCAGGUACCAAAGCAAAUCAUUCGUACUGUACAAAUAAUGUAAAUAUGAUGGUGCAUCACGAAAGAUUGAUAUCAAACUGAUCACUUGACCAAUAUUACGUUACUUGCUCUUCAAGUGAAUCAACAAAUGGCGAAAUGAAAAGCCGAACAAAUGCUAUUUUUUUUUUUUUUAGAGAUUCUUAGCUUACGUGUGUUUAUUUCAUAUUUUCAGUUCUUACCCUCCCCGACUAAAUCGGUUUCAGUUAUGUACUGAAAUAUAAGAAUGGACAUUAGAGGGUUCUUUCAAAGAAAAACUCAGCACAAAGAGGGAGAGAGGAAAAGAGAGGGAGAUGGAGAAUGAGGACAGAACAGAGAUGAACAAGAGCAGGUCAGAGGGGUUUUGUCACCAGAAGGAGCUCCGGCGUAAUACCAGGCAAGCGGUUUUAAAGUUCGACCUAUUGAAGUACAAGCCAACCACAAAAUAAAAC
Molecule: long non-coding RNA, 549 nt
Organism: Astatotilapia calliptera (eastern happy)
Lineage: Eukaryota; Metazoa; Chordata; Actinopteri; Cichliformes; Cichlidae
Source: Ensembl